RNAcentral lists this long non-coding RNA (649 nucleotides) under Elaeis guineensis (African oil palm). RNAcentral's name for it is "long non-coding RNA (EGUI_LNC027757)". The record is from RNAcentral. Lineage: Eukaryota; Viridiplantae; Streptophyta; Magnoliopsida; Arecales; Arecaceae.
CUUUGACUCUCUUCGGUGCGGGGUCGGUAGCAGAUGGCUUCAUUUGGUCCUUCCUCUUCCUAUCCUCCACCUUCAUAGGAUUGAACCUUAUUUCUGCAUUAGACAGGCAUUUCAGAAUAAUGAAGACAGAAAAAAGAUGAUAGAGUUGAAGAGUAAAACACUUCGAUCUUACCCCGAGAAGAGUAUAGACUGAUGUUGGUAUCAUACAAUGCUUGAUCAUUUAUCAGAGCAGAUAACUUGGGUGUUUCAAUGGUAAUCAAGGUUGAAUGAGCCACCUCAUUUUCGGAGAGAAUUUCAUCAUUGGAGUUAUAUUUGGUAUCCGGACGUCCCCAAGAAGUCCUAAAAUCUCAUGAAAUUAGAGCCUGGAUGAAGAAAAAAUGACCUUUCUAGUCGUAAAUUGAAGAGAGAAGGCUGGGUCUAAAUUUAUAAUUUUUUUGAAGUAAAAAGUACCACCAAUCCUUCUCACUCAGAUGCCUUUUCAAAAAGACCAAGGAUCUAAAUAGAAAAAUCCUAAGAUCUGUGUGAAGGAAGUUACACAUGAUUAUGAAUACUAUAAUCAUCCUAAUUAUGUGCGGAGUUAUUUGAGUGAAAUAGACCCUAUAAAAAUUAAAGACGUUGCAAAAAAAGGGUGCAGUGAAAAUCGCAGACC